AACGAACGCUGGCGGCAUGCCUAACACAUGCAAGUCGAACGAGACCUUCGGGUCUAGUGGCGCACGGGUGCGUAACGCGUGGGAACCUGCCCUUAGGUUCGGAAUAACUCCCCGAAAGGGGUGCUAAUACCGGAUAAUGUCUUCGGACCAAAGAUUUAUCGCCUUUGGAUGGGCCCGCGUUGGAUUAGCUAGUUGGUAGGGUAAAAGCCUACCAAGGCGACGAUCCAUAGCUGGUCUGAGAGGAUGAUCAGCCACACUGGGACUGAGACACGGCCCAGACUCCUACGGGAGGCAGCAGUGGGGAAUAUUGGACAAGGGGCGAAAGCCUGAUCCAGCAAUGCCGGGUGAGGGAUGAAGGCCUUAGGGUUGUAAAGCUCUUUUACCCGGGAUGAUAAUGACAGGACCGGGAAAAUAAGCCCCGGCUAACUCCGU
This 432-nucleotide ribosomal RNA is filed under the name uncultured bacterium. RNAcentral describes it as "partial 16S ribosomal RNA". It matches the Rfam family "Bacterial small subunit ribosomal RNA", at positions 29 to 506 of the family's 1533-position model. The record is from RNAcentral.